RNAcentral lists this ribosomal RNA (498 nucleotides) under uncultured bacterium. Its description in RNAcentral is "partial 16S ribosomal RNA". It matches the Rfam family "Bacterial small subunit ribosomal RNA", at positions 28 to 507 of the family's 1533-position model. The record is from RNAcentral.
GACGAACGCUGGCGGCGUGCCUAAUACAUGCAAGUCGAACGAGAGCGACCGGUGCUUGCACUGGUCAAUCUAGUGGCGAACGGGUGAGUAACACGUGGGUAACCUGCUCAUCAGAGGGGGAUAACAUCCGGAAACGGAUGCUAACACCGCAUAGGUCUUCGAGCCGCAUGGCUUGAAGAGGAAAAGAGGCGCAAGCUUCUGCUGAUGGAUGGACCCGCGGUGCAUUAGCUAGUUGGUGAGGUAACGGAUCACCAAGGCCGUGAUGCAUAGCCGACCUGAGAGGGUGAUCGGCAACAUUGGGACUGAGACACGGCCCAAACUCCUACGGGAGGCAGCAGUAGGGAAUCUUCCGCAAUGGACGCAAGUCUGACGGAGCAACGCCGCGUGAGUGAAGAAGGUUUUCGGAUCGUAAAACUCUGUUGUUAGAGAAGAACAAGUGCUAGAGUAACUGUUAGCGCCUUGACGGUAUAUAACCAGAAAGCCACGGAUAACUACGUG